Molecule: ribosomal RNA, 514 nt
Filed under: Borreliella bavariensis
Lineage: Bacteria; Pseudomonadati; Spirochaetota; Spirochaetia; Spirochaetales; Borreliaceae
Description: bacterial SSU rRNA
Rfam family: Bacterial small subunit ribosomal RNA
Source: RNAcentral
GCCUUAGAACUAACGCUGGCAGUGCGUCUUAAGCAUGCAAGUCAAACGGGAUGUAGCAAUACAUCUAGUGGCGAACGGGUGAGUAACGCGUGGAUGAUCUACCUACGAGAUGGGGAUAACUAUUAGAAAUAGUAGCUAAUACCGAAUAAAGUCAAUUAAUUUGUUGAUUGAUGAAAGGAAGCCUUUAAAGCUUCGCUUGUAGAUGAGUCUGCGUCUUAUUAGUUAGUUGGUAGGGUAAAUGCCUACCAAGGCGAUGAUAAGUAAGGGGCCUGAGACGGUGAACGGUCACACUGGAACUGAGAUACGGUCCAGACUCCUACGGGAGGCAGCAGCUAAGAAUCUUCCGCAAUGGGCGAAAGCCUGACGGAGCGACACUGCGUGAAUGAAGAAGGUCGAAAGAUUGUAAAAUUCUUUUAUAAAUGAGGAAUAAGCUUUGUAGGAAAUGACGAAGUGAUGACGUUAAUUUAUGAAUAAGCCCCGGCUAAUUACGUGCCAGCAGCCGCGGUAAUACCUA